CAAGAUGCCCAAGAGAAAGGUCAGCUCGGCCGAAGGGGCCGUGAAGGAGGAGCCCAAGAGGAGAUCGCGGAGAUUGUCGGCUAAACCUGUUCCAGCUAAAGUGGAAACGAAGCCAAAAAAGGCAGCAGGAAAGGAUAAAUCUUUGGACAAAAAAGUGCAAGCAAAAGGGAAAAGGGGAUCCAAGGGAAAACAGGCUGAAGUGGCUAAUCAAGAAACCAAGGAAGAUUUACCUGCGGAAAAUGGAGAAACUAAAAAUGAGGAGAGUGCAGCUUCUGAUGAAGCAGAAGAAAAAGAAGCCCAGUCUGAUUAA
Molecule: RNA transcript, 310 nt
Organism: Octodon degus (degu)
Lineage: Eukaryota; Metazoa; Chordata; Mammalia; Rodentia; Octodontidae
Gene name: non-histone chromosomal protein HMG-14 pseudogene
Exons: 1
Source: RefSeq, a predicted model, not a curated record